Molecule: small RNA, 145 nt
Filed under: Caenorhabditis elegans
Lineage: Eukaryota; Metazoa; Nematoda; Chromadorea; Rhabditida; Rhabditidae
Description: Unclassified non-coding RNA C39B5.18
Source: RNAcentral
GAUAUGGAAAGCUAUUCAAAUGGGUUAUAGGGAAAAAUGCUGUUACAUGCUGGUGAGUUAUUUUGGGUUUUUUUUUGGUUAGGGUGAGAUCGAAAACUUUAGACAUGUUAAGCAAUAGCUGACCUGUUGUGCUUAAUCCCUAUGA